This is a long non-coding RNA of Siniperca chuatsi (mandarin fish), 301 nucleotides long. RefSeq lists it as uncharacterized. NCBI's taxonomy places the organism in Eukaryota, Metazoa, Chordata, Actinopteri, Centrarchiformes, Sinipercidae. The transcript has 3 exons. The record is from RefSeq and is a predicted model, not a curated record.
CACACACAGACAAAACGAUCAGACUGACAGGAACACAAGGAGGGGAAAACGGCAGGAAAACACAGGGAAUGAGAGAGAGGCACAGCCGGACCAUGACAUCGUUCUUCAUACCUGGUUAACCAGGUAGCAGUUUCUCUUUACUGGAGUUGGUCCUGCAAUAGAAGAGAACAGUUUCAAUUAGCUUUACAGCUCAGUACUGCAUCACUUGCUCCCUAUUUUUUUAUUUCCACAUGGUUCCUUAUUUUGAAGAAUUUUGGGCAGAAAACCUUGGAUCUAGUUCGGGAACUCAAAAACACUGACC